This 448-nucleotide ribosomal RNA is filed under the name uncultured bacterium. RNAcentral describes it as "bacterial SSU rRNA". It matches the Rfam family "Bacterial small subunit ribosomal RNA", at positions 355 to 796 of the family's 1533-position model. The record is from RNAcentral.
UCGAGAAUUUUUCUCAAUGGGGGAAACCCUGAAGGAGCGACGCCGCGUGGAGGAUGAAGGCUUUCGGGUUGUAAACUCCUGUCAUUUGGGAACAAGGCAUUAGAAUUAACUGUUUUGAUGUUGAUAGUACCAGAAGAGGAAGGGACGGCUAACUCUGUGCCAGCAGCCGCGGUAAUACAGAGGUCUCAAGCGUUGUUCGGAUUCAUUGGGCGUAAAGGGUGCGUAGGUGGCGCCGUAAGUCGGAUGUGAAAUUUCGGAGCUUAACUCCGAAACUGCAUUCGAUACUGCGGUGCUUGAGGACUGGAGAGGAGACUGGAAUUCAUGGUGUAGCAGUGAAAUGCGUAGAGAUCAUGAGGAAGACCAGUGGCGAAGGCGGGUCUCUGGACAGUUCCUGACACUGAGGCACGAAGGCCAGGGGAGCAAACGGGAUUAGAUACCCCCGUAGUCC